Molecule: small nuclear RNA, 132 nt
Filed under: Chinchilla lanigera (long-tailed chinchilla)
Lineage: Eukaryota; Metazoa; Chordata; Mammalia; Rodentia; Chinchillidae
Description: U4 spliceosomal RNA (ENSCLAG00000020765.1)
Rfam family: U4 spliceosomal RNA (bases 1-114)
About the family: U4 small nuclear RNA (U4 snRNA) is a component of the major U2-dependent spliceosome. The structure of U4 snRNA from yeast and human has been reported.
Source: RNAcentral
ACCUUUGUGCAGUGGCAGUACUGUAGCCACUGAGGUUUAUCCAAGGCACCAUUGUUGCUAAUUCAAAAUCCUUCCUGAGCUGUGUCUAACAAUUCCAUAGAAUUCUGCCAUGAUCUAUACUCAAUACUAAUG